This 435-nucleotide ribosomal RNA is filed under the name uncultured bacterium. RNAcentral's name for it is "partial 16S ribosomal RNA". It matches the Rfam family "Bacterial small subunit ribosomal RNA", at positions 354 to 781 of the family's 1533-position model. The record is from RNAcentral.
UGGGGGAAUAUUGCACAAUGGGCGCAAGCCUGAUGCAGCCACGCCGCGUGUGUGAAAGAAGGCCUUCGGGUUGUAAAGCACUUUCAGCGAGGAGGAAGGUGGUGAACUUAAUACGUUCAUCAAUUGACGUUACUCGCAGAAGAAGCACCGGCUAACUCCGUGCCAGCAGCCGCGGUAAUACGGAGGGUGCAAGCGUUAAUCGGAAUUACUGGGCGUAAAGCGCACGCAGGCGGUUUGUUAAGUCAGAUGUGAAAUCCCCGGGCUCAACCUGGGAACUGCAUUUGAAACUGGCAAGCUAGAGUCUCGUAGAGGGGGGUAGAAUUCCAGGUGUAGCGGUGAAAUGCGUAGAGAUCUGGAGGAAUACCGGUGGCGAAGGCGGCCCCCUGGANGAAGACUGACGCUCAGGUGCGAAAGCGUGGGGAGCAAACAGAUUAG